This 503-nucleotide ribosomal RNA is filed under the name uncultured bacterium. RNAcentral's name for it is "partial 16S ribosomal RNA". It matches the Rfam family "Bacterial small subunit ribosomal RNA", at positions 28 to 507 of the family's 1533-position model. The record is from RNAcentral.
GACGAACGCUGGCGGCGUGCUUAACACAUGCGAGUCGAACGGUGAAGCGCUUUCCUUUUUGGUUGGUGUGGAUGAGUGGCGAACGGGUGAGUAACACGUGAGUAACCUGCCCCCUUCUUCUGGAUAACCGCAUGAAAGUGUGGCCAAUACGGGAUAUUCUGCGCCUGCUGCAUGGUGGGUGUGGGAAAGAUUGUGCCUUUGGGUGUUUUCGGUGGGGGAUGGGCUCGCGGCCUAUCAGCUUGUUGGUGGGGUGAUGGCCUACCAAGGCGGUGACGGGUAGCCGGCCUGAGAGGGUGGACGGUCACACUGGGACUGAGACACGGCCCAGACUCCUACGGGAGGCAGCAGUGGGGAAUAUUGCACAAUGGGCGCAAGCCUGAUGCAGCGACGCCGCGUGAGGGAUGGAGGCCUUCGGGUUGUGAACCUCUUUCGCCAGUGAAGCAGGCCUGCUCCUUGUGGGUGGGUUGACGGUAGCUGGAUAAGAAGCGCCGGCUAACUACGUG